This 490-nucleotide ribosomal RNA is filed under the name uncultured bacterium. RNAcentral describes it as "partial 16S ribosomal RNA". It matches the Rfam family "Bacterial small subunit ribosomal RNA", at positions 30 to 507 of the family's 1533-position model. The record is from RNAcentral.
AUUGAACGCUGGCGGCAGGCCUAACACAUGCAAGUCGAACGGUAACAGGAAGAUGCUUGCUUCUUUGCUGACGAGUGGCGGACGGGUGAGUAAUGUCUGGGAAACUGCCUGAUGGAGGGGGAUAACUACUGGAAACGGUAGCUAAUACCGCAUAACGUCGCAAGACCAAAGAGGGGGACCUUCGGGCCUCUUGUCAUCGGAUGUGCCCAGGUGGGAUUAGCUAGUAGGUGGGGUAACGUCUCACCUAGGCGACCAUCUCUAGCUGGUCUGAGAGGAUGACCAGCCACACUGGAACUGAGACACGGUCCAGACUCCUACGGGAGGCAGCAGUGGGGAAUAUGGCACAAUGGGCGCAAGCCUGAUGCAGCCAUGCCGCGUGUAUGAAGAAGGCCUUCGGGUUGUAAAGUACUUUCAGCGGGGAGGAAGGGAGUAAAGUUAAUACCUUUGCUCAUUGACGUUACCCGCAGAAGAAGCACCGGCUAACUCCGUG